UGUUUGUGAGUCAGCCAAGGGAACCCAGCACAUUUCCCAGGGGAAAAGGCUCAGGAGAAAGACAGGCCAACCACUAAUGAGGCAUUCCCAGGAAACACAGAAGGGAGGGAGAUCUAAGUGGAGCAGCUGGAAACCAAGGGCCAGAUUUUUAACACAGUUCGGAAACAGAUGAGCGUUUAACCUCCUGAGACCAAACAUAUGUUACUAUGAAGUAGCAAACUUGCGUGUUUGUUGCCCAUUUCAUGGCUGGAAGCUGAAGAUGUUUUGGCAUCAGUAGUUAAAGUUUGAUAAAGCUUCCUGAGCUCAGCAUGUCCCGCUGUUGUUCGGGAGAGAUACCGGCUCAGCUGGCUGCUUUUCCAGGCAGCACUGCUCUCCCCAGGCCUCCCCCUGCAGACACCAACUUCUGUGUGAUAAGGAGAAGUUUUUAGCUCUGAACACUCAUCAAAAACACCACUCCUCCGGACUCAGUGAAGCAGAAAACCAAAAGUUAGUCUUGAGUGGUUGGGGAAAAUCCUGAAAGUUGGCGGAGGUGGUCUCCGGAUGAUCCAGCCCGGUUUUUCCAGGACGAGGGAGCAAAGAGCUGGCAAGUGCAGAAUCUAAAAGUUCAGCAAUGUUACCACACGCUGAGAUGUGAAAAGUGCAUUUACAGGAUUAUUUUUUGCGUUGGAGGGAAAAGAAAUGAAGCAUUUUCUUCUGUAUAAAGAAAUGUCUUGGACACGAGGAAAAAAGGAUUAUUUCGAUCCCUGUGUUACUGAUUUGCUAU
Lepidothrix coronata (blue-crowned manakin) is the source of this 763-nucleotide long non-coding RNA. RefSeq lists it as uncharacterized. The transcript has 5 exons. The record is from RefSeq and is a predicted model, not a curated record. Lineage: Eukaryota; Metazoa; Chordata; Aves; Passeriformes; Pipridae.